This 53-nucleotide small RNA is filed under the name Paraphysomonas imperforata. RNAcentral's name for it is "partial Mitochondrion-encoded tmRNA". Lineage: Eukaryota; Chrysophyceae; Chromulinales; Paraphysomonadaceae. The record is from RNAcentral.
UGCCAUUGGAGCAUGUUUGUAUACGGUAGAGAAUAAGGUUAUGCGAUACAAAC